CCCGCCCGGGGCACGGCGCUCCCCCCGCGGGGGCAGCGCAGCCGCCGCGGUACAGCCCGACCUCGGGGGGUUCCGCCGGCCCGGAGUUGGGGGGUCUGCGGGGAUGCGGCUCCGGGUUUAAACUGCGCUCGAGAGCGAUGUGCUCAUCAGUUUGCUGCAAUUAGCGCUAUAACCCGUGCCAGCGCAACCCGCGGUAAAGACAAAGCUGCAGGGGGAGGCGGUGUCAUCCGGCGGGUUCGGCACUCGGAGCCGUGGCCACCUGCGCGUGGCCGUCACGGGACAGGGGAACCCGGCUGCCGCCGCGGGCAGGGCUGCGGAGCCCGGCGAAGAGAUUUGGACUGGCUUUAUAAAUUAAACAGUAUGCGAUGACAGCUUUGGAGAGAUCUCGUGGGAGGAAAUGAGGAAAUGUCAGGAAUCCCACGUGGACUCAGUGAAUCUCUGCCAAUAACAAGGACCCCAAGAGCUACUCCCUGGAAGCCUCUGCCCCCAAGGAAACACCACCUUCCUCAUCGAUCACAAUAUCUCAGUCCAUGUGCAGCCAUUGCAGUCUUGUGCCACAGUGUGUGGCAACCCUUUCUAUGAAGAAAUUUCUUCUAAUGUCCAGUCUGAAUCUCCCCUAGCACAACCUGUUAUCUGAGAGAAGAGACUGAACUCCCACCUCACUGCAACCUCCUGUCAGUGUCCAGCACAGACAUCUCUCUUAAUACAAGAUUAUAUGUGGUAUCCAAAAUCAGAUAUGUUGAAGAUACACACCUCCAUUUGAAAAAAAGUCCAGCAAGUCUGAAUGUUCUCAAUGAGGAACACCAAGUCCAUUGCUUUGGAUAACAGUUAAUUCAGAUGCAAAUCUAAUGUGAAAUAUGAGAAUGUCUAAUGAUGAUGAGGUGGAAACUAUGCUGAUCUUUUCUAAUCACAUCGUGAAUAAAACAACAUUUAAGAAAAAUGCAAGGUUCCUAAUUUCUGGAUAUGGAUUUAAUUUAUUUAGCAAACUAAAUACAAUUUCUUCUAAAACUAGUAGAUGGCCAUUCACAUUGCUGUUGCAGAAUGACAUUAAAGGGAUUAGACUAAUUUUCUUAAGAAAUGUUGAAGGUGGAUGUUAUUCAUGUAACAUAUCCACAGCAGAAACAUUGUAUAAGUCAAGAAAGAGAUUCAUAAUGACUGGCUUUACUUUCAGGAAUAGAAUGGUCAAUAUAAUUUCAUUCUUUCCUUUUUCUAGUCCUUUUUCUAACUUCUUCAGCGUGACAUCAUACCCUGUAUAAAAUCUUUGCUCUUGACUUAUAUGGCAAAGGAAAUUGGUUUGGAUCUGUUUUCCUCUAGAUUUUGAACACUGAUAAGAUCAAUAUAAACGUGUACGAAAGGAAGACUGAAGCUGUUUCAGUAAAUUUAACAGUCCCAGAAAAUGUUUGCAAGUGCUAGAAAAUUAUCACUUACACUGUUGAAUCACUGGUGAAUUUCUGAUUUCGUUUGACAACUAGCCCUCACCAAAACAAUGCAGAGGGGCAGAGGGCAGUAUAGUCCAGGCACCAGCCCCAGCUGGCAGUCAGGUUGAAGCUGUCUUUUUCUGCAGAAGAGAUUUAAUAGUAUGAAUGUAAGUUGUUCUGAGAUUAAUGUCGCUAAAUAUCAUCUCAUCAAAUGCUCAGCACUAGAAUCCAAAGUACUGCAUUUUGUGUAUGUAAGCUCUUGACUAUGUUACUCUCCCUUAAACAAUGCACUUGGUACUCAUUUUAGUGAAAAGAUUCUUUCAGAAGAAAAGAAAGUAGCUCUCCUUCAUUGAGAUCUCUGCUAUCUAUGGCAACUGGAAAUAAUUUUCAGAAUCCUGGUAGCCUAGGUAAAGAAUACCUACUUUCCCUCACUACUAUCAGGGAAAACUGUGCUUACAGCUACCAGUAUGAAGAUUUAAAUGACAAGUCUUCAAGAAAAUGAAGAGUAACAAAAAAUAUUGUUGCUAUGCAAAUGUUGCAAACUUAGGACAUGUGAACUAAAUGCAUACUUAGGAAAGGGACAGCAUAUUUAAGAAUAACUAUAUCAUUAAGUGGAUGGAUUAGGAAUCAAAUGUGUUCCCCUACAAAAAUAAAAAAAAAAUAUUUUUUAAGAGUUUAAAAUCCAAAAGAGUGGAAAGACAAAAAAAAAAAAAAAACAACUGGGCAGUAAAGGAAAAAGUGCUGGCUUGUAAAAUAUAUAAACUCCUACCUAAUAAUAAUAAAAAUCAUCUUGUCAAGGGUUGUAUCUGUGAGCCUUAUAAAGCACUAAGUCUUUGGGAAACGUGAAAGACUAGAGAAGCAGAGCACUCUGUGGAAAAGGGGUGCACUGGAAAUGCGAAUGGAGACAGAGGGAGAAAAAAGACAACAGAAAAUAAGCUUAUAAUCACACUAAAAGUUUUCUUUUUUUUUUAGUAAGUUAUAUAGUAAGUUGAAUUAAAAAAAAAAAGUGACCAUGAAAACCUGCAUUUCUUACAUUUGCAUAUAAAUUGCUUAUAGCAAUUGCUUCCUGAAAGGUCACCAGCAAGCUGGAUAUGCCAAGACAUAGGAGAAAACCCUUCCCAGUGAGGGAAGAGCUACCAAAGUAUCAAGGAGUGAUGGCAACUAGACGAUAUUGAUAUGGUCCUUCACAGUCUGCAUACCUCUGUUCCCCUCUCAGCCUGGUGCAGAAUCAACACUAGGGCAUGCAAAUAAAAUAGCCAAGUUUUCUGUUUUAUAAAGUCUUUGCUUGCACUUUGUGCUGGAGGACUCCAGAUGGUGCUGGUACCAGUCACCUCAUGCUCAAGCAGCCUCUGCCAUCUUCUGCAUCAUACUGGUUGCUCUGGAGCAGGGGGAUUUUGAUCCACGAAUAAUAUAUCUGAGUCAAAUUCCACUGUUUCCACAUGAGUUUAAAGUCAGACUGCAUAGGGCAAUUUUUACCUUUGAACCAAUUUAAAUGAGACCAAAACUGAGGGUAAAAUAUCCUGUUACUCUGAAAGGACCUGCCAUGGGGAAAAAGAAUUGUUACUGACAAAAAUUAUUCAAAGCAAAAAUUUCCUUUAAAUUUUACAAGCUCUCUCUGAAAUCAAACUGUUUUUUUCAGAGUGUUGAAAACAAUGAAAUAUCAUAAUGUUUAGCAGAAGAAAUUUACAUUUUCUGGUGUAUUUAAACUCCUCGAUUCAUUAACUUUCCUCUGAGAUGUUCUUACAUAUCAAACAGCAGGUCUGAUCUUGCAGGCCCUUUUGUUGGUCAACAUUCUGUUUUCAUAUUUAUUUCCAUAGAAUGUUUGUAUAAAAAGAAUAAUAAAAUCCCGUUUAAUAUCUGUUAUGAUUGAUGAAAAAAAACAGGUUCCUAAAACCAAAUUAAUUUUGCUUCCCUGAGAAUCUGAAAGUAUCUCUUAUCAUGUGCAGCCGUCUCUACAAACCACCCAAGGUGAUCUGUUUGCUCGCAUUUCUUUUAAUUGCUUAUUCAUCAGUUUAUUAGGUUAUUAGAGAACCUGCUACUAGAUAGCUCAUGAGAGCAUGCCCAUGUUUCUGAGUAAUGUGCCACAGAGAUAGUGAAAUAGCCUUUGGAGAGCUGCCCUGAUUCCUGUAGCUCAGAGCAUGGCUCUGCGCAGUUGCCCUGGCUAAUUCACACUACUUUUUGAAUAGGGAAAUUAAAGUAUCCCUGAACUCCCCUGUAUUUCAUGCAGAUUAUUUGUAUUUUGUCUUCUAAUUCUCUUAAAGCACUGAGUAUCUUUGUGUUCUGUUGUACUUAUUUAGAAAAAUAAGUAUGUGAACCAAUAUAUACAAAUUAAUAUAAUAACAUCCAGAGGUCACAGGAGCCAACUCUGCAAAGUACUGAGCAGCCCCUUUUCAACUUCACUGGUAAUAUAAGAUGGUCUGAGCUUCCCAAACACUUCUAUAGAUCAAUCUAUUCUGGUCUUUUAAUUGACUGUAACUGAAGAAUACAUCUCUUUACUGUUUACUGAAACUAAGUUUUCUUCAGUUGUUAACAUCAGUGUAGUCCACUGAAAAUUCACUACUAAUGUUUAUGUAGGUAUAACAAAAGUGUGGUUUUGCUUUACUGUUUUCUACAUGACACAUCUCCUUUCUUCUCUUUCCCCAACUUUCUUUAUAAUUCCUUUGGAAAUAGCUGAAAACUGCACUUUCGAAUAUUUGUAAAGUUGAUUAAAAAUAAGCAGUCUUUUAAAUGAUGUUGCUUACUGAAUCCAUUAAUACUUGGUAAGGAGAGAGCUCAAAAGGUUCUUCUAAGUGAUAAAUGUAUAAAUCCAUUUUAGGCUUCAUAAAAUAAAGCUUAUUGAUAUGUAUCUUACUAUGCAGUUUUUCAGUUGCUGCAGGGUUAAUUUUUAUUUUUGUUUUAAGUAACUGUUCCAUAAAUAUUAAAGUACAUCUCUUCUUAAAGGAAAAAAAGGAAAAGUACAAUCUGGGUGCUAGGAUGCUAGUAAGAAGCAAUAAAUUAUUACUGUAAUGACAUGCUAAUUAAAAUUUUGCUUGUAACUCAUGUAAGUGUUUGAAGCCCAGCAAAUUUCUCUUUUCAUUUGUGAAGUGUGAAGGUAAAUUGCCCAGUGACAGUGGGACAUCGCUAACAAGUACAAAUUGAAUAACAUGCUAUCUUGCUCUAUUAGUCCUGACUAGCAUGUCUGAAUUAGAUAUUCAGCACACUCCCCAUUGUAGGCCUGAUUGAUAAAUGCUAAGGAGAAUUUGUCAAAACAACAGGGGCUACACCCAGUGGGACAUCAAUAUGCUCCAUUUAGUCACCCACCCGGCAUUUCCUACAUAGGAUUGUCACAUAAAAUUAAGACUAGCCGCUAACCAGCCAUCAAGCUUGCAGCAGACACUAGGCAGCCUGUGUUCUGUAUGCAUAUUAGUCACAUGCUUAACAAUUUGGGCUGUCAUGACUGAAGCAUGCAGUGACCUCUGGAGCAGAGGUUGAAUUUUGCAACUACACUAGACAUCAUGCUCAGCUGUUCAAGAUUUUAGGCCAUUUCCUGCCUGAUCUGUGCACAGAUGCACUGCCCUAAGCUACAAUCUGUGGCCUAGUCCAAAUGACAAAUGGCACAGCAUAGAUUAUUGCAUUAUAUAUUAAGUACUACAAGUCUGUAAAUUAUAAGUAAACUACUGUUCAGCCUGAACGUCUGCUGCAACUUUUAAAACAUUUUCCUUCAUAAAGCCUGUUAUGUGCAGUACCAAUAAAUAUUUGGAAAACAAAGGCAUCAAAGUUUAAAUACUGAAAUAGACUGUUUUCUCUGCAAUUAGCUGCCUGAAUAUGAAAGAGUUUUUUCCAGCUUCAAUUCACUAAGUUGAAGCUGGACUUGUUUCGCCUCCAUUCCUCUCCUUUUCACUGAGAAUUAUUAGCAAAUUAAGAUUUUCUGUGGGCUCUAUAUGUUGAACAAUUUUUGCCAGAUAAAUGGUUGAGGCCAGCCAUUUUACAUAGUUCUUUCAGUAUGGAUUAGACAUGCAAUAUUCAAAGCUAAUAAAUAUAAAUAAGAAAACUAAACAUCCUCAGUUCUGAGGAAUUUAAUUUGUAGUUCUAUAAUGCUUAGUCUCUGUUUAUGUACUGAAGUUCUUGUUUACACAUGGAACAGCUGUAAAGAAUAUAAAGAACCUAUCUGGAAGGAAAAGCGUUCACUGCUUUUCCUGUUACUGAGCUGCAAUAUUUCAUUUGUCUAAGUGGGAUUUUUGUGUUUCCUACCUGUGGUUUGUACUCCAGUCAGUUGUGUAAUAUCAACAAUCAAAUUUUUGGUGUUAGGAUGGAAAGAAGAAAGAAAUAAAGAGACA
Molecule: long non-coding RNA, 5734 nt
Organism: Pseudopipra pipra
Lineage: Eukaryota; Metazoa; Chordata; Aves; Passeriformes; Pipridae
Exons: 6
Source: RefSeq, a predicted model, not a curated record